RNAcentral lists this ribosomal RNA (253 nucleotides) under uncultured bacterium. RNAcentral describes it as "partial 16S ribosomal RNA". It matches the Rfam family "Bacterial small subunit ribosomal RNA", at positions 524 to 776 of the family's 1533-position model. The record is from RNAcentral.
CACGUAGGGCGCAAGCGUUGUCCGGAAUUAUUGGGCGUAAAGAGCUCGUAGGCGGUCUGUUACGUCUGCUGUGAAAGCCCGGGGCUCAACCCCGGAACUGCUUUCGAAACUGCUGAGCUAGAGUACAGAAGGGGCAACCGGAAUUCCCAGUGUAGCGGUGAAAUGCGUAGAUAUUGGGAAGAACACCUGAGGCGAAGGCGGGUUGCUGGGCUGAUACUGACGCUGAGGCGCGAAAGCCAGGGGAGCAAACGGG